RNAcentral lists this transfer RNA (64 nucleotides) under Bathymodiolus thermophilus. RNAcentral's name for it is "tRNA-Asn". The record is from RNAcentral. Lineage: Eukaryota; Metazoa; Mollusca; Bivalvia; Mytilida; Modiolidae.
GCUUAGUAGUUUAUUUUAAAACGUUUGACUGUUAAUCACAUAAAGGGUGCCACACCCCUUAGCU